CGGAGGAUCCAAGCGUUGUCCGGAUUUACUGGGUUUAAAGGGUGCGUAGGCGGACUUUUAAGUCAGUGGUGAAAGCCUGUAGCUUAACUAUAGAAUUGCCAUUGAAACUGAAGUCUCGAGUGUGGUUGAGGUAACUGGAAUAUAUCAUGUAGCGGUGAAAUGCUUAGAUAUGAUAUAGAACACCAAUUGCGAAGGCAGGUUACUGAGCCAUUACUGACGCUGAGGCACGAAAGCAUGGGGAUCAAACAGGAUUAGAUACCCCGGUAGUCCACGCCGUAAACGUUGCAUACUCGAUCUUAGCGAUACACAGUUAGGAUCCAAGCGAAAGCGUUAAGUAUGCCACCUGGGAAGUACGUCCGCAAGAAUG
This 367-nucleotide ribosomal RNA is filed under the name uncultured organism. Its description in RNAcentral is "bacterial SSU rRNA". It matches the Rfam family "Bacterial small subunit ribosomal RNA", at positions 526 to 896 of the family's 1533-position model. The record is from RNAcentral.